RNAcentral lists this transfer RNA (73 nucleotides) under Caudoviricetes sp. RNAcentral's name for it is "tRNA-Gly". It matches the Rfam family "tRNA". From Rfam's summary of the family: Transfer RNA (tRNA) molecules are approximately 80 nucleotides in length. Their secondary structure includes four short double-helical elements and three loops (D, anti-codon, and T loops). The record is from RNAcentral. Lineage: Duplodnaviria; Heunggongvirae; Uroviricota; Caudoviricetes.
GCAUUUGUGGUGUAACUGGAUAACAUACCUGGCUUCCACCCAGGCGAUGCCGGAUCAUUCCCGGUCAGAUGCU